This 74-nucleotide transfer RNA is filed under the name Podarcis lilfordi (Lilford's wall lizard). RNAcentral's name for it is "tRNA.Ile". The stretch from base 8 to 66 matches the Rfam family "tRNA", at positions 8 to 63 of the family's 71-position model. From Rfam's summary of the family: Transfer RNA (tRNA) molecules are approximately 80 nucleotides in length. The record is from RNAcentral. Lineage: Eukaryota; Metazoa; Chordata; Lepidosauria; Squamata; Lacertidae.
GCCUGGAUAGCUCAUUUAGUUAGAGUGUGGUGCUGAUAACGCCAAGGUUGCAGGUUCGAUCCCCGUAUGGGACA